AACAUCGCGCACCUGCGGGAACCUGCGGAAGGAUCAUCAUUGAAAACAAAUUUGGACAAGGGGAUUGUGAUUGACGGGGGGGAGGGGAAAGUUUUAUUUCCUGAGCCUUGAGAGAACAACCUCUUGGACAAAAACAACCAAUCUUCAUGACUAGGAAAAAACACAGUAAAGUAAACCAGUGGUUUGGGGGGGGGCAUAAACAACAAACAAGUUCUUGUCUGACAAGUAGUGUUUGGUGAU
RNAcentral lists this unclassified non-coding RNA (240 nucleotides) under soil metagenome. RNAcentral describes it as "partial contains 5.8S ribosomal RNA, internal transcribed spacer 2, and large subunit ribosomal RNA". The record is from RNAcentral.